AACGAACGCUGGCGGCAGGCCUAACACAUGCAAGUCGAGCGCAUCAUUCGGGGUGAGCGGCGGACGGGUGGGUAACGCGUGGGAACGUGCCUUCUUCUAUGGCAUAGCCUCGGGAAACUGAGCGUAAUGCCGUAUAUGCUAGCAAGGGGAAAGAUUUAUCGGAGGAGGAUCGGCUCGCGUUGGAUUAGGUUGUUGGUGGGGUAACGGCCUACCAAGCCGACGAUGCAUAGCUGGUUUGAGAGGCUGGUCAGCCACACUGGGACUGAGACACGGCCCAGACUCCUACGGGAGGCAGCAGUGGGGGAUCUUGGACAGUGGGGGCAACCCUGAACCAGCCAGGCCGGGUGAGCGAUGAAGGCCUUAGGGUUGUAAAGUUCUUUCAGCUGUGAAGAUAUUGACGGUACCAGCAGAAGAAGCCCCGGCUAACUCCGUG
Molecule: ribosomal RNA, 433 nt
Filed under: uncultured bacterium
Lineage: Bacteria
Description: partial 16S ribosomal RNA
Rfam family: Bacterial small subunit ribosomal RNA
Source: RNAcentral